RNAcentral lists this microRNA precursor (73 nucleotides) under Gorilla gorilla gorilla (western lowland gorilla). RNAcentral's name for it is "miRNA (ENSGGOG00000032320.2)". Lineage: Eukaryota; Metazoa; Chordata; Mammalia; Primates; Hominidae. The record is from RNAcentral.
UGUAUUAGGUUGGUGCAAAAGUGAUUGUGGUUUUUGCAAUGGCAGAAACUGCAAUUACUUUUGCACCAACCUA